Molecule: ribosomal RNA, 446 nt
Filed under: uncultured bacterium
Lineage: Bacteria
Description: bacterial SSU rRNA
Rfam family: Bacterial small subunit ribosomal RNA
Source: RNAcentral
GGGCCCGCGUACCAUUAGCUAGUUGGUAGGGUAAUGGCCUACCAAGGCGACGAUGGUUAGCUGGUCUGAGAGGAUGAUCAGCCACACUGGAACUGGAACACGGUCCAGACUCCUACGGGAGGCAGCAGUGAGGAAUUUUGCGCAAUAGGGGAAACCCUGACGCAGCAACGCCGCGUGAGUGAAGAAGGCCUUCGGGUCGUAAAGCUCUGUCAAGUGGGACAUGAUGGUACCGCUAGAGGAAGCACCGGCUAACUCCGUGCCAGCAGCCGCGGUCAUACGGAGGGUGCAAGCGUUGUUCGGAAUUACUGGGCGUCCAGAGCGUGUAGGCGGUUUGGUAAGUCAGAUGUGAAAGCCCUUGGCUCAAACCCGGGAGUGCAUUUGAAACUGCCAUGCUAGAGUAUGGGAGAGGAGAGUGGUAUUCCCAGUGUAGAGGUGAAAUUGUAGAU